RNAcentral lists this ribosomal RNA (1416 nucleotides) under uncultured bacterium. RNAcentral's name for it is "bacterial SSU rRNA". It matches the Rfam family "Bacterial small subunit ribosomal RNA". The record is from RNAcentral.
GGCAUAUCACCUAUGGGCGAAUGAAUUACCGGCGCGAUAUCCCCUUAAGUUGAUCCUGGCUCACGACGAACGCUGGCGGCGCGCCUAACACAUGCAAGUCGAACGAGAGAGAGGGAGCUUGCUUCCUCAAUCGAGUGGCGAACGGGUGAGUAACGCGUGAGGAACCUGCCUCAAAGAGGGGGACAACAGUUGGAAACGACUGCUAAUACCGCAUAAGCCCACAGCUCGGCAUCGAGCAGAGGGAAAAGGAGCAAUCCGCUUUGAGAUGGCCUCGCGUCCGAUUAGCUGGUUGGUGAGGUAACGGCCCACCAAGGCGACGAUCGGUAGCCGGACUGAGAGGUUGAACGGCCACAUUGGGACUGAGACACGGCCCAGACUCCUACGGGAGGCAGCAGUGGGGAAUAUUGCACAAUGGGGGAAACCCUGAUGCAGCGACGCCGCGUGGAGGAAGAAGGUCUUCGGAUUGUAAACUCCUGUUGUUGAGGAAGAUAAUGACGGUACUCAACAAGGAAGUGACGGCUAACUACGUGCCAGCAGCCGCGGUAAAACGUAGGUCACAAGCGUUGUCCGGAAUUACUGGGUGUAAAGGGAGCGCAGGCGGGAAGACAAGUUGGAAGUGAAAUCUAUGGGCUCAACCCAUAAACUGCUUUCAAAACUGUNUUUCUUGAGUAGUGCAGAGGUAGGCGGAAUUCCCGGUGUAGCGGUGGAAUGCGUAGAUAUCGGGAGGAACACAGUGGCGAAGGCGGCCUACUGGGCACCAACUGACGCUGAGGCUCGAAAGUGUGGGUAGCAAACAGGAUUAGAUACCCUGGUAGUCCACACCGUAAACGAUGAUUACUAGGUGUUGGAGGAUUGACCCCUUCAGUGCCGCAGUUAACACAAUAAGUAAUCCACCUGGGGAGUACGACCGCAAGGUUGAAACUCAAAGGAAUUGACGGGGGCCCGCACAAGCAGUGGAGUAUGUGGUUUAAUUCGACGCAACGCGAAGAACCUUACCAAGUCUUGACAUCCUGCGACGGACAUAGAAAUAUGUGUUUCCUUCGGGACGCAGAGACAGGUGGUGCAUGGUUGUCGUCAGCUCGUGUCGUGAGAUGUUGGGUUAAGUCCCGCAACGAGCGCAACCCUUACUGUCAGUUACUACGCAAGAGGACUCUGGCAGGACUGCCGUUGACAAAACGGAGGAAGGUGGGGAUGACGUCAAAUCAUCAUGCCCUUUAUGACUUGGGCUACACACGUACUACAAUGGCGUUAAACAAAGAGAAGCAAGACCGCGAGGUGGAGCAAAACUCAGAAACAACGUCCCAGUUCGGACUGCAGGCUGCAACUCGCCUGCACGAAGUCGGAAUUGCUAGUAAUCGUGGAUCAGCAUGCCACGGUGAAUACGUUCCNCGGGCCCUUGUACACACCGCCCGUNNC